CUAAUCACACGAACGGGUGGCGCAGUAUUCUAGUCAACCGCCCACUCUUGAAGACGGGGCUAAAAAUCCGUCAAAGGGCACAUCGAUGAAGUUCCUGGUGUUGGCUUGAGGCGCCCAGCCUUGGGCUGAUGCUGGGAGUUAAGAAAGUUGGGAGACCCGCAAUGGCAUGCGGACGUUAGCCCAGCUUUCGCGGAGGCCUAAGUGCGUGGCUCGCAAUUAAAGGGGUUACGGCUUGGGGUAUGAACCUGCAUGCGGAGGCAAUCUGUGUGCAGUGUAGCCUGCCUUGAGUGGUAUUGAAGGAUUCUGGGAAACAAGCUGUUAUCCUCGGCCAAGGAAUAACAGCCCGUGCCAGAUGAAAUCCAUACUGCAAAAGAGGCUAGAGAGUGGCCUUCCGGUUGUUGCGGAAAACGCCUAGACUGUUCGCUUGGCGUGGCACCUUGAGGAUUAUAGUGUGGACUAAGUGGUAAUCUAGUCUGGCCUUCGGCGACGCGGCCAAUGCGCGUUGAAAGGGAAACCGUCAUGGCGGCGACGCUGUGAUACGUGCAUGGGAAAACCAACUGGACCUAAGCCACAGCGUUUACUCAAGGUGCUGCCACCCGCUGGAUGUUUCUU
Molecule: small RNA, 612 nt
Filed under: Alicyclobacillus tolerans
Lineage: Bacteria; Bacillati; Bacillota; Bacilli; Caryophanales; Alicyclobacillaceae
Source: RNAcentral